ACGAACGCUGGCGGCGUGCUUCACACAUGCAAGUCGAACGGAAAGGCCCUGCUUGCCGGGUACUCGAGUGGCGAACGGGUGAGUAACACGUGGGUGAUCUGCCCUGCACUUCGGGAUAAGCCUGGGAAACUGGGUCUAAUACCGGAUAGGAGCCAUUUUUAGUGUGAUGGUUGGAAAGUUUUUUCGGUGUAGGAUGAGCUCGCGGCCUAUCAGCUUGUUGGUGGGGUAAUGGCCUACCAAGGCGGCGACGGGUAGCCGGCCUGAGAGGGUGGACGGCCACAUUGGGACUGAGAUACGGCCCAGACUCCUACGGGAGGCAGCAGUGGGGAAUAUUGCACAAUGGGCGCAAGCCUGAUGCAGCGACGCCGCGUGGGGGAUGACGGCCUUCGGGUUGUAAACUCCUUUCGCUAGGGACGAAGCUUUUUGUGACGGUACCUAGAGAAGAAGCACCGGCUAACUACGUG
RNAcentral lists this ribosomal RNA (464 nucleotides) under uncultured bacterium. RNAcentral's name for it is "partial 16S ribosomal RNA". It matches the Rfam family "Bacterial small subunit ribosomal RNA", at positions 29 to 507 of the family's 1533-position model. The record is from RNAcentral.